Colius striatus (speckled mousebird) is the source of this 843-nucleotide long non-coding RNA. RefSeq lists it as uncharacterized. The transcript is spliced from 3 exons. The record is from RefSeq and is a predicted model, not a curated record. NCBI's taxonomy places the organism in Eukaryota, Metazoa, Chordata, Aves, Coliiformes, Coliidae.
GGCAUUAAGACCAUCCAGAAGAAGAACAUUAACUCAACCUUGUGCUCUCCCUAAAGUUCGUAGAGAAGCAUACUGGGAAAAAAGCCAAUCCUGCUUUCCCCAUCUCAUGGCUCAUCUUACAUCAAGACAGGUUUUUAAGCAGAUUUUUCAUUCAGCAUCCUGUUCUGUUUGGGAAAGCAAAAUACAACAUAGGUAAAGCCAUAGCAGAAACAAUGUUAAAUGACAGGUGGCAAUAGGAGCAAGGUUGUAUAAUUUGAAAAACUGUUCCACUCAAUCAAAUGUUGCAUUUGGAAACAACAGAUAGGAUGGCAGGUACUUGCUUAUCACCAUUUAUAGUGGAAGUACAACUGCAGCUCCAGUUCUGUUUGAGAUGGUGCAGCACACAGUGGGAAACAGAAAAACAAUAGUCAGAGAUGCCGCUUAAAGCCACAAGAGAAAUCAUGGAUUGGUUUAACAAAGACACAAAAAAGCUCUUGAUAUUCAUGAGAUUCAGUAAGUGCUGAUAAAAAAAAGUCUUCUGAUGCUUAACCCUUCACAACUUAGAGUUGUUUUUAUUCUCACUGUAGUAUAUGUGCACUUUUUGUGUGAAACAGAGUAAGCGGGAACAUUCACUUGGGAAAAAGAUGGGAAUUAUAUACAGAAGAUAUCAGAAAGUACCAUUUCCCCUGUACAGUAUAGCACAAUGAAUUCCCUCAUAACAGCUUCUGGAAUGAGGAAAUACCUAAGAUAUGUAUAAAAUACUUGGAUGUAUUUUAUUAGCUUUGUUUAGUAUUUGUCACGCUAGUAAAGCUGCAACAGCAGAAUUCCUGUGCUCAGACAUCUCCAAGUUCAUCCUGCUCUUUC